ACCAGACUCCUACGGGAGGCAGCAGUAGGGAAUUUUGCGCAAUGGGGGAAACCCUGACGCAGCAACACCGCGUGAAUGUUAAGCCCUUCGGGGUGUAAAGUUCUGUCAAUAGGGACGAAUUUUGACUGUACCUAUAAAGGAAGCACCGGCUAACUCCGUGCCAGCAGCCGCGGUAAUACGGAGGGUGCGAGCGUUAAUCGGAAUCACUGGGCGUAAAGCGCGCGUAGGCGGCUUUUCAAGUCAGGGGUGAAAUCCCACGGCCCAACCGUGGAACUGCCUUUGAAACUGUAGAGCUUGAGUGUCGGAGAGGGUGGCGGAAUUCCAGGUGUAGGAGUGAAAUCCGUAGAUAUCUGGAGGAACACCGGUGGCGAAGGCGGCCUGCUGGACUGCGACUGACGUUGAGGCCCGAAAGCGUGGGGAGCAAACAGGAUUAGAUACCCCAGUA
This 445-nucleotide ribosomal RNA is filed under the name uncultured bacterium. RNAcentral describes it as "partial 16S ribosomal RNA". It matches the Rfam family "Bacterial small subunit ribosomal RNA", at positions 330 to 792 of the family's 1533-position model. The record is from RNAcentral.